CCCUUAGAUGUUCUGGGCCGCACGCGCGCUACACUGUUCGACGCAGCGAGUCUUAACCUUGACCGAAAGGUUUGGGUAAUCUUCAGCAAAGUCGAACGUGAUGGGGAUCGAUCAUUGCAAUUAUUGAUCGUGAACGAGGAAUUCCUAGUAAGUGCAAGUCAUCAGCUUGCGCUGAUUACGUCCCUGCCCUUUGUACACACCGCCCGUCGCUACUACCGAUUGAAUGGUUUAGUGAGAUCUCUGGAUUGACGCUGGCUAGGGGGCGACCCUUGGCCAGACUGUUGAGAAACUGCUCAAACUUGAUCAUUUAGAAGAAGUAAAAGUCGUAACA
RNAcentral lists this ribosomal RNA (331 nucleotides) under uncultured eukaryote. RNAcentral describes it as "partial 18S ribosomal RNA". It matches the Rfam family "Eukaryotic small subunit ribosomal RNA", at positions 1470 to 1796 of the family's 1831-position model. The record is from RNAcentral.